This is a long non-coding RNA of Sardina pilchardus (European sardine), 549 nucleotides long. RefSeq lists it as uncharacterized. The transcript is spliced from 5 exons. The record is from RefSeq and is a predicted model, not a curated record. Lineage: Eukaryota; Metazoa; Chordata; Actinopteri; Clupeiformes; Clupeidae.
UUAGGUUUCUAGGUGAAAAGGAGUCAGUUAUACGAAAUGCAUUCGUGUUUGGAGGAAAUAUGUCACUCUAUGGUCGCCGUAGAAGCAUUAUUUCAAAACGCACAAACGAGGGUCUCUGGUUGUGGCAGGUCUGCCUCUUCUCCCUCACUCGUGGAUUGUAAGACGUGGGAGUGCAGAGUGCAAGACAUCAGCGUCAUUGAGGUCUCUCUUACAGAAGCAUUACAGAUGUGCAGAAUUUCACACGCAUUGUGCAACUGAAGUCCAAGUUUAUGCCAGAACUUGACAUCUGCUCCAGGCUGUCUGCUGAGUGCCAUAGGAAGGGAGGAGAAACAAGACAUAAGAUUAAGGAGAUCAUGGCUGCCAUUGAUCGGAAUCCCAUCAUUGGCUCGUUGAGAGUUUGCCACCUGCAAGCACUUGUUGUGUACUUGAAGGCCCUGAGAAACUCAAAGGAAUACCUGAGCUGCCAGGACUGGUGUCAUCACUGAAAGCAGUCAUAAACAACAUGGCAGAUUCAUCUAUUUACUCCAGCCAAAGUGACUCACCACGCAC